UACUCUGUCGUGGGGGAUAACGUAGGGAAACUUACGCUAAUACCGCAUACGACCUACGGGUGAAAGCAGGGGAUCUUCGGACCUUGCGCGAUUGAAUGAGCCGAUGUCGGAUUAGCUAGUUGGCGGGGUAAAGGCCCACCAAGGCGACGAUCCGUAGCUGGUCUGAGAGGAUGAUCAGCCACACUGGAACUGAGACACGGUCCAGACUCCUACGGGAGGCAGCAGAU
This 227-nucleotide ribosomal RNA is filed under the name uncultured Stenotrophomonas sp. Its description in RNAcentral is "partial 16S ribosomal RNA". It matches the Rfam family "Bacterial small subunit ribosomal RNA", at positions 127 to 354 of the family's 1533-position model. The record is from RNAcentral. Lineage: Bacteria; Pseudomonadati; Pseudomonadota; Gammaproteobacteria; Lysobacterales; Lysobacteraceae.